CCACCGCAGCGAAGCAGAAAACAGCGUCUGGGAAACGCGGUCGGAACACCAGAAGGCGGCUUUCCCGAAACAGGUGCACGGGAGCUGCCUGCCCCUCAUGGCUAGACGCAAAGGGGCCAAAAAUGCAACUCUCGAUGAGAGUACGGAACAGAUAAAGCCUUCACGUAUCUUCGGACCAAACCAGCACGAGCACGCGGUGCCUGCAAGGUCGUGUUGUCUCCAUCUCACACACUUCCAUGCUAGAAACAGGCAUCGGGUCCUGGUGAACAGGAUCCCAUCGGCUCCGCACACACAGCCUGGGGGCUGCCUGGGUGCCAUGCAUGCCUCCGUGUCACUCCAACAGCACCGAGCCAUCAAACUUCUGCAUCUUCCACCCGGGAAAGGCAGCCAGAACUCACUGAGCACCCGCAGGCUGGGAGAGCUGCCUGUGAUGCUCCCUCCUAUCAGUACUGUUCAGUUCCCAGCACAGCUCUGCCUGUCCUACCCAUACCCAAACCUUCAGCUCCCUCACAUCGCCCACCCAGACCUUUUAAAUGCUCUUUGACAAUUUAACUGAUUCCUUCACAACUUCUUUCCUGCGGGUGCAUAAGUGCAGCUCCAAGGAGCACUCAUUGUGGCCUCCUCCAAGUGCCCCAUCACAGCCCAUGCCAAACAAACACCACUGAGUGUGUUUGUCCGUGAGUGCCUUUGAAAAACAGCAAAUACUGCGGUGGGAAGCAAACACACGGGAAGCUCAUACUAAAAAGCCUUUCUAAUCUGCUAGCUGUCACUGUGAGAUCUCUGCCCUUCAGGUCAGAAGGGCUUUUGUUUGCUCUUCAUUUUUCUUGAGAGUGCUUCUCUACCAACAGCAAACGAGAGGAAGCAGCAGCAGAUCGUGCUGAGGUACUGUGUGAGCAUGGGGGGAUCUGCUGACACUGCUUGGGAGAGGAGGAGCACCAACACACCCCAAUGUGCAGACAGAUCCCUUCAUGCUCCCUUUUCCUGCUGCUGAAAACUUGGAAACUUCUACAAAGCUGUGAUUCCUCCUGAAGGAGAGAAGCUGAAGGGUUCUGGGUAUCUGCAGGGCUGAGAAAAGAGCUGAUUUAUUGUCGCCUCAGAGUGAAAAUCCAGCUCCCCUUCAUAGCAUGUCCUUGUCUUUAUUUUAAAGGGAUUUGGGGAUGACACCAUUUCUGCAGUACGGUGGAGUUUGUUAACCCCGUAGUGCUCACAUGGCUGAAAUAAUUACACACAAAGGAACUCAGAGUGUUCCUUUGGAUUGGGUAAAAGGAUAUUAAAAUCCUGGUCAGUACUUUGGGACUACGGAGAGUGCUUGGCAUCCUUCCCUCGAGACCACAGAACAGGCAGCAGGACAAGGAUUUAAUGCAGUGCAAAUAGAAGCAAAGAGAGAAGAUGAGGAUUUGUGUAUUUAUUCUACUGGUAGAACCAACUCACAUUAGCUUAUAGCUGAAUGAACAUCUGUACUCUCCGAAUAAAAGCAAAGAUGUAGCUGGUCCAUUAAAAAGGACGUUGUUUGCUGCUUUCAGAGCACUGUGCACCACGACAGCCUUCUGAUAGCUCAUGGCUCAUGGAAUUAUUCAGUCUUUUUCCCUGAAGGGCCUCUGCAUUGCAGCGGUCCUCUUCCUUUUUCCCCCUGUUAGCGAUGCCCUACUUUGUUCACUGCUGCAGUCCCCCUCCCUUCCACCACAUCACAGCACUCAUGGAAAGCCUGCCCGCUCCCCAGCACACAGACAGCACAAACAGGCAGCACUCAGCCACCUUCUGCAGCUCCUGCAAACCCACCAGCACUGCGGGAACGGCCCAAGAAGAGCUUUAAGAUGCAGCCCUUUGCACACCGCGUUGGAGGGGUCACGCAAUGAUCCACACACGCACCGAUGAGCAGAGACUGCUGGGCUGUGUGACGGUCCCCGACUCACAGCUACUGACAGAGGAAGCAUCUAAUUGAUGCCUUAAUGAGAGCAGCUUUUUCUGCCAAGGCUUCCCAGGCAGAAGGAGGGAGCCCAACAAAAUCCCUUCAAACACCGCCCGCCGACAUUCAUACCCUGCUGGCCUGCAUUAAGCUUAGAACUAUUCAGUGUUUCUCCCGUUGAAGUCAAUCAGUUCCACAUAUUUGCCAAGUCUGUCAAAGUAUACACAGCAAUAACAGCACAGUAACACAUUUCAAAUCUUUGUAGUUACAGCAAUAUUUUGAAGUUAAGCUCAUAUCAAAGCAAUAUAUCCACAGUAGAUUUCCCAAAGCAUGCAAUUCUGUGGUGAUUCUGUGACUGAAUUGCAGUUGCUACACUGGCAGCUCACAGACAAAAUGAGAUGAGGUUAAUUGACUGAGCAACAAACAGAACCAGCAUAUUAGCUCAUUAUUGCUCGUCUUCAGUACGGCCCUGUGCAAACAACUGCUCCCGUGAUUUCUUUACUGUAACACCAAUAUUAGUUUGUCUGAAGACUCAGGAUCUGACCCUACCGUAUUUGUCUCCUGUACAGAGCAGAGCAAACAGGCACUUAACAAAUGGGUCACCUAACACGAACAUAAGGACUUUGCUAAGACUGCAUAAAAUGCAGUGCUGCAGCAGCUGACUCUCUGGUGAAGAAAGAUAAAAGCAGUGCUGCUUGUUCUUUUCCACCCUAUCAUGUCUGUUAACACAAACCAUCUCUUUGCCUUAGAUCUCCUUGCUCUGAGUUGGAAGCUGCUCCAGCAGUCGCACUCAGGAAGGGAAAUGAAGGCCCUGCCCAUCUUGUUCAAAUCGUCACCUUGACAACUUCUCAGACAAAGAGAAAAAUCAAUGAAUUUCAUGCAGUAGUACAGAAAUAACAGACCAGCCAGCAGAUCUGUUGCCUCCCUGCAGGCCGUGCUGACUCCUCAUUUCCUCCAAUAGCUUUUAGAAGCAGCACCAGUGGGCACAGGAAGAAGGCUUUGAUUAAUGCAGCACUGAGCAACAGACCUUCCCCAUGACACAGCCUCAGCCCUCUGCAUCCCUCCCCCACACCAGGGGUUGCUCCUCUCAUUCACAGUUCUACCAUUUGGUGAGCUUAGUUAAAGAACAUCAUGCACUUCUUACCAUCCAAAGACAGCCAGUCAUGCUGGGAGGAAGGCAGGGUUGGCAGAGCUCUGGCUUUGUAUUCAAACACCACAGAAUUGGAGAUGAUCUGAUUGUUGAAGGCAACUUGCAAAGUCACGAGCCCAGUGUCAUGAGCUAAAAGAGAAGAAGGAGCGGUGAGACAGAGACCUCCCUGCAGAAAUGCCCAAGUAGAUCCUGUUGGUGAACUCCCCAUGGGCAGGCUGACAGCAGAUGCAACGAGAGCAGAGGGAGCACUUGGCCAUAUUUUUCUGACUACACAACUGAAGAGUCCAGAAUGUCAAUCUGCAUUUUAAAACAGGCAGGUUUUAAAACCCAUUUAGGAGCCAUACAAUAGGUUACUUUGGCAUGAGGUAGGAUCGCACGUGCCCCAAAAUUAACCAACUUCACAGCAUUUCAAGUAGCAAGCUGGGGCCCAACAAUGAGGAUCGGUUAUUCUGCAUAUAUUGAAAGCCAAGAACUUCCUCUGAAGCCACCAGCUGCAGGAGAGCCAUUCCUUACCUGGGCAGUAGCAGCGCAGUACUCCUGGCUGAAUUAAAGAUGCAGGCACUGAGAUCUGAUCAAACAGACAGCUGUAAUUAUUGCUGGCUUCUUGCCAUGGACCAGUGAUUAGAACUUUCACUCCUCCCUACAAUGAACAGAGGGGAGAAAAGGAAGCAUCAUGAAAAGAGCCCUAUCCAGAGAGGACCUUGCACUGAAAUGGCUGAACAGCAAACAAAAUCACGAGGGCAGAUACAGAUCCUUGGCACCAGUAGCCACCAACAUCCCAGCACUCUGCAGAGCUUGCACAUCUCCGUCCACCUGCCCCACCAGGACUGCUCUGCUCACAGCAGCUGCUGCUGCAGCCUCUGGGACACCUCAUGGUGUGCCCUUCUUUGGCCACCAAACCUUACACUGUAGGAGAAACACAAACAGUAUUCCAUAACAGAGCAUCUCUGUUUCUCUUCACUCUCUCUGUUCCCUCCUCCUGCUGGCAGUGAUACACCUUGCACUUUUACUGGGUAUUGAGAACUUGGUUAAAAAAGGAAGCAUGAUCACACAGGGGUGACCCUGAAGGGGCUGCGCAAAAGCAGGGCUGCAAAGGGGUCCUUCAGCCCCAACUUUAGCAACUUGAGCCUGUCCUAGAUCUCUCUCCCUGCCCUGACAUGGGUCACAGUGGUGCUGUGUCAGCCAUAGGAGCACAAGGCUUUGGCAUCCGCCUCUCCUGCUGGUGGGAAAGGCACCAGCUGCAUCCAGCACGGACCUGCAGGAGUACAAUUGAGUUCCUCCUGCAGUCCUUGUGCCUCCUCCCCGAGGCCCAGCGUGGAGCUGGGCACCACCAGGACAUUCACCAUGCCGUGAUGGGAGUGCUCCUCUUCUGGAGACUGGAAAGCUGUGACAGGACAUACAUCUGGCAUAGGACAAACACCACUUUGCAUCAUUAGCAAGAUCCGCCAUACGCAGUUCAGCGCAGUGAGGCUGUGCACAGGAGCACAUGAGGCCAUCACAUGGAAAUACUUGGCCUUUCAAUGAAACAAAGCAUUUCUGUUCAGACGUUUCUAGGUGAAGAAAGG
This 4621-nucleotide long non-coding RNA is filed under the name Gallus gallus (chicken). Its description in RNAcentral is "long non-coding RNA NONGGAT004835". The record is from RNAcentral. Lineage: Eukaryota; Metazoa; Chordata; Aves; Galliformes; Phasianidae.